Molecule: ribosomal RNA, 897 nt
Filed under: uncultured bacterium
Lineage: Bacteria
Description: bacterial SSU rRNA
Rfam family: Bacterial small subunit ribosomal RNA
Source: RNAcentral
AGAGUUUGAUCCUGGCUCAGGAUGAACGCUAGCUACAGGCUUAACACAUGCAAGUCGAGGGGCAGCAUAUUUAUAGCAAUAUAAAUGAUGGCGACCGGCGCACGGGUGAGUAACACGUAUCCAACCUCCCUUUUACUCGGGGAUAGCCUUUCGAAAGAAAGAUUAAUACCCGAUAGUAUAUGGUUUUCUCAUGAAGAUCCUAUUAAAGAAUUUCGGUAAAAGAUGGGGAUGCGUUCCAUUAGGCAGUUGGCGGGGUAACGGCCCACCAAACCUACGAUGGAUAGGGGUUCUGAGAGGAAGGUCCCCCACAUUGGAACUGAGACACGGUCCAAACUCCUACGGGAGGCAGCAGUGGGGAAUAUUGCACAAUGGGCGAAAGCCUGAUGCAGCAACGCCGCGUGAGUGAUGAAGGUCUUCGGAUUGUAAAGCUCUGUCUUUUGGGACGAUAAUGACGGUACCAAAGGAGGAAGCCACGGCUAACUACGUGCCAGCAGCCGCGGUAAUACGUAGGUGGCAAGCGUUGUCCGGAAUUACUGGGCGUAAAGGAUGUGUAGGCGGAUAUUUAAGUGAGAUGUGAAAUCCCCGAGCUCAACUUGGGGGCUGCAUUUCAAACUGGGUAUCUAGAGUGCAGGAGAGGAAAGCGGAAUUCCUAGUGUAGCGGUGAAAUGCGUAGAGAUUAGGAAGAACAUCAGUGGCGAAGGCGGCUUUCUGGACUGUAACUGACGCUGAGGCAUGAAAGCGUGGGGAGCAAACAGGAUUAGAUACCCUGGUAGUCCGCGCCGUAAACGAUGAAUACUAGGUGUCGGGGAGCAUAAGCUCUUCGGUGCCGCAGCUAACGCAAUAAGUAUUCCACCUGGGGAGUACGUUCGCAAGAAUGAAACUCAAAGGAAUUGACGG